UACGGAGGGUGCCAGCGUUGUUCGGAAUCACUGGGCGUAAAGGGCGUGCAGGCGGCUUAGCAAGUCAGAUGUGAAAGCCCUGGGCUUAACCCAGGAAGUGCAUUUGAAACUGCUUUGCUUGAGUAUGGGAGAGGAGAGUGGAAUUCCCAGUGUAGAGGUGAAAUUCGUAGAUAUUGGGAGGAACACCCGUGGCGAAGGCGACUCUCUGGACCAAUACUGACGCUUAGACGCGAAAGCGUGGGGAGCAAACAGG
Molecule: ribosomal RNA, 253 nt
Filed under: uncultured bacterium
Lineage: Bacteria
Description: partial 16S ribosomal RNA
Rfam family: Bacterial small subunit ribosomal RNA
Source: RNAcentral